UUGGCAAAGCUCCAGCCUUUUCCACUGUACCACUUCGGGUGACUCUAACUUUCAUAACAUUAUGCAGUGCAGUGCUGUGAUUCAAAAGGAAAUUUGGCACCGCCGUUUGUUUUUAAUUGGUGGAAGAGCAGCAUGAUAAAAUAGAUUGACCUUUUAAGGAUUUCUGACAUUCAAAAGAUUUAAUAUAGCUACUAAAACGCAAAGAAAAAGUAAGUCUUUUCUAUUUUUUUCCCUCGCCAGGAGCUGAACCUCUCAUUUCAAGACCUGGGUGAUCUUUACCAGGUGGAAAACUCCAGAAGGAUUCUCCAAAGAUUGAUACGGGUCGAAAAACUUUGGUUGGUGGACAAUUCUUUGACAGACCUAAGUGCCAUACGGUUGCCAAGAUGCAGAGAGCUAAAUGUCAACAAAAACUACUUUACAUCCUUCAGACAGUUGCCAAAGUUACCUCAGAUUCAGCACCUGUCACUGGCUGAAAAUAACAUUAUGACACUGAGUGGAAUAUCAGACUUGAGACAUACUCCGCUUGAAUCCCUUAUACUCAAGAGGAAUCCCUGUGAGUUUCAAGAAAGCUACAGGCAGCAUGUAUUCUCCAGUUUGCCAAAUCUGAAGGUACUGGAUGGUGUCCCAAAACUGCCAGAGGACUAUUCACCCCCAGAUACCAGUUUUUUCCCCAGAAUGUGCACUGUACUCUAGCACUGUAUUUGUGUGGGAUCACAGCUGUGCUAGAAUCACCUUACUUAAAA
This is a long non-coding RNA of Tympanuchus pallidicinctus (lesser prairie-chicken), 743 nucleotides long. RefSeq lists it as uncharacterized. The record is from RefSeq and is a predicted model, not a curated record. The transcript has 3 exons. NCBI's taxonomy places the organism in Eukaryota, Metazoa, Chordata, Aves, Galliformes, Phasianidae.